AUGCACGAUUUCUCCUUCAGCUCAGCUUCUCCCCAAGCGGCCACCUAUAACCACAGCCUCAGCGUUUGUGUGCCCCUGGGGACCCGGCAGACGAGGAUUUCCUCUGCGCUUCUGCUCCUGGCCUGCUGUGGGGCUGUAGGAAGUCAUUUUGCAGCUGUCUGCCUCAGUUUCCCCCACACGCAGACUCUUGAUCCCCGCGCGAGGGAGGGAGGCAGCCAGCGCCGGUGCCUUGCUGCACAGCCCUGCCGAGAUCCCCACCAGUGCUUCCCCCAGCGAAUCCCCCCCGAGGCAAGCAGCAAGAAAAGUCCCCACCACCUGCAUUUUUGGGGCCAGACUUUCUUCAUGGAGAACUGCUUGCAAGAAACACAUUAUGCUCUGGAGUCUGGUGGCCCUAAAUAUUAGAGGAGAUGGCUCAUAGCUCUUUGUGGACUGGUCAAGUUGGCUGCAGUCUGGGCUAAAAGAAACAUGAAGCGGAGCAUGAUCAUCACAGCAGAGCUCCAUGACAAGGUAUGGUGUUGUGCUUGGCCUGUUUUAGCUGAGUUUUCUUGGGGAAUUUUUUUCUCAAGGCUGGUGGAAGACCAGCGGGUAAAAGCAGGAACUGUCUGUGAUUCUUUCAGCUGUGGGCAGAGUAUGUGUAAAGAGAAAUAGAGGUUAUUCUUAGAAAUUUAGGGGAGCAGAUUUCACCAAGACCUGGACCAAGAGUGGAAGGUGUUCCCUUUUAACCUCCUUGCACACCUGACCUAAGGCAGGUAACAUCCCCUUGAGAACAUCCCUGAGCAGCACCACACAAGCUGCUUGGCAGCAUGAAGCAGAUUUAAAAUGCUCCACGGAGCCCCGCUCUGCCUUCCAUACAUCUUCAGUGAAGACUUGUGGUUGUUGGGGUGAGCAGUG
This 891-nucleotide long non-coding RNA is filed under the name Cairina moschata (Muscovy duck). Its description in RNAcentral is "domestica (muscovy Duck (domestic type)) lncRNA (ENSCMMG00000016979.1)". The record is from RNAcentral. Lineage: Eukaryota; Metazoa; Chordata; Aves; Anseriformes; Anatidae.